RNAcentral lists this ribosomal RNA (492 nucleotides) under uncultured bacterium. RNAcentral describes it as "partial 16S ribosomal RNA". It matches the Rfam family "Bacterial small subunit ribosomal RNA", at positions 30 to 507 of the family's 1533-position model. The record is from RNAcentral.
AGUGAACGCUGGCGGCAGGCCUAACACAUGCAAGUCGAACGGUAACAGAGAGAAGGUUUCUUCUUUGCGGAGGAGAGGGGGGGGGGGGUGAAAUGUACGGGAGAAUGCACGAUGGAGGGGGGGAAAUAGUGGAAAAGGUAGCGAAAAUAGCAUAAAGGAGCAAGGGGAAAAAGGGGGGGAUUCGGGCACCUUGCCCGAGGGAGUUCGCAGAUGGGGGAUGAGCGAGGGGGCGGGGUAGGGGCACACCGAGGCGACGAUCCCUAGCUGGUCUGAGAGGAUGACCAGCCACACUGGAACUGAGACACGGUCCAGACUCCUACGGGAGGCAGCAGUGGGGAAUAUUGCACAAUGGGCGCAAGCCUGAUCCAGCCAUGCCGCGUGUAUGAAGAAGGCCUUCGGGUUGUAAAGUACUUUCAUUGGGGAGGAAGAGCGUCAAGUUAAUACCCUUCCUCAUUGACGUUACCCACAGAAUAAGCACCGGCUAACUUCGUG